Molecule: long non-coding RNA, 210 nt
Filed under: Eucalyptus grandis
Lineage: Eukaryota; Viridiplantae; Streptophyta; Magnoliopsida; Myrtales; Myrtaceae
Description: long non-coding RNA (EGRA_LNC007799)
Source: RNAcentral
GUGGGCGGCGGACGGCGGCAGCAGCAGCAAGAAGGCGGCGGCGGUUCGGCGACGGUCCGCAAGCAGCUCGUUGGGACGGAGGGCGGCGGCGGCUCGGACGGCGACGGUCAGCGUUGGUCGAACGGCAACGGCGGCAGCUUGGCUCGAACGGCGUCAGGUUGAAGUGGCUAGGAGGGCGAGCAGCGGCGUCGGGUCGCUGGUCCGAGCGGC